AAUAAUUCUGUACAAAAAUUGGGCCAAACAAGCCCAAAUAAAAAGGAAACAAAGAAAAGAACAGAACAAGAACGUCUGGACUAUGGGCCCUUUCCAUUUUUUCUAUGCUUUAAAACAUUUUCCACUAUCCACUUUUAUGGGAUUUUUUCUUUUAACAAAACAAGGAAAUCAUUCUUCUUCUUCUUCUUGUUUCAAAGAAAGAGCAGCCAGCCCAAC
This 216-nucleotide long non-coding RNA is filed under the name Solanum tuberosum (potato). Its description in RNAcentral is "long non-coding RNA (STUB_LNC006374)". The record is from RNAcentral. Lineage: Eukaryota; Viridiplantae; Streptophyta; Magnoliopsida; Solanales; Solanaceae.